This is a long non-coding RNA of Mustela lutreola (European mink), 26653 nucleotides long. RefSeq lists it as uncharacterized. The record is from RefSeq and is a predicted model, not a curated record. NCBI's taxonomy places the organism in Eukaryota, Metazoa, Chordata, Mammalia, Carnivora, Mustelidae. The transcript has 2 exons.
UUGGUGAGUGCUGUGAAGUGUGUAAACCUGGUGAUUCACAGACCUAUAUCCCUGGGGAUAAAAAUAUAUGUUUAUAAAAAAUAAAAAAUUAAAAAAAAAUUCAGAACAUAUAUCAGUGAUACAAGGUUAGCAUAGAAAAAAAAAAGCUCUUACAAAUUGACAAUCUGAAGACAAGCAAUAGAAAAAUAUGCAAAGUAUAUGAGGAGCCAGUUCACAAUGUAAAAAGUCCAAAUUAAGAAAAACAUAUAAAAAAUAAAAUAAAAUAAAAUAAAUAAAAAGUCCAAAUAACGUGUAGUCAUGUGAAAACAUAGUAAAAUUCACUAGCAGACUGGGAAAGCCAAGCAAAGUCAUUUUUAUCCAACAGGCAAAAAUUUAGAAAAAAACCUGUAAUAUCUGUGGCUGGCAUGUAUGUUAAGAAAAACAUACAUUGCUGAUAUAAACGUAUAAUUUCAUAACCUUCUAAGAAAGCAGUUUGGCAGUAUCUGUUAAUAUUAAAAAGACAUAUGCCUUUGACUCCGUAACUCCACUCUUGGAAAUCGAUACCAAAGAUAUUUAAAGUCUAGUUUGUAAAGAUGGGUAUUAUUUAGUGCAGCAUUGUUAGAGCGACAUAAAAGUAGACAUCCUCGGUAGUGGAAUGGCAGCUUAUGUUGUGAUAUAGUCACAUAAUGGAUUGUUGCUUUAAAAACAAGAAUGAAUUAGACCUACGUCAGAUGAGUUCAAGUGAGGUAGUGGUGAGGAAAUAUACUUUGGAUGGGCACAUAUCAUCUUCCCUACGUGUGUGUGACUGUGCCUAGGUCUGUCAAGCACUGUGAGUGCAUUAAAGACUAAGAAGCACACACACAGGUGAUGACAUUCCAUGGUGGGAGAGUAGCCAAAAGAAGGGAAGAAGAGGCAAAAGGAAAGGGGAAGCUGGUAAGGAACAGAGAAAAAAAGCAAGCACACUGAUAGGAUUAUAUGUAUGCAUCUAGGUAAAAUUAUGGAUCUCUGCGGGGAUGUGUGUGUGUGUGUGUGUGUGUGUGUGUGUGUAUGUGUGUAAAUUAAAAGUAAUAACAUCAGAGCUAAAAAUAAACACUUCCUUAGAAAAAAAUCUCUGACCCUUAACUAGUUGGAAGUAUGUGGUUUGUAUUCCCUUUCUUUUACAGUACAAAUUUGAACAGAAAUGUGGGAAAAUCAGUUGAAGCCAGAGUGGAAAUGGGAGGGGAGGAAAGAGAUCACAGAGUCAGAAUAAACAGCAUCAGUACAACUUGGGGUUCUGCACAGAACUGUUUGCUAUCCCGAUUGAGGGACGAGAGAAAGGAAAACUCAAUUAUCAUUCCUGUAAGUUAGGUGACAUGUAAUAACCACAAUUUCAUUACAUUUUAGGGAGCAGACUAUUAUUAUUAAUAUUUUUUAAUAAUGUGUACUUCAGGUGAGAACGGAAUCCACAGCUAAUAUUUUUCAGAGUAUUUUAAAAUCUGAUGAAAAUUUAUUUUUAUUUUUUCCCCUAGUUCAUUUAUCACUUUUGAGUGUGUGUGUGGCGGGGGAGGGGUGUUGGGGGGAUUGGUGUGGGUGUGUGUACAUGCACACAUUUGGACUAGAUUUGAUUAAAAUGCCCUUCACACCUUUGUAACGCAAUGAUGACUACCUGUGUGUCAACGUUAGAAGAUCUGUUCCCAGUUUAGCUCCAACUACCCAGGAACAUUUUUUAUCUCCUUUAUAGUCAAAUAUUUAGUGCAGAGAGGAGGGAGCAAAUCUUUGUCCCUGAAGUGGACUUGACUGAGGUCUGAGGCUCUUUCCCACAGACACUCAGAAAAUAGUUAUAAUAAUGGAAGUCUUAGGGAAGAUGAUAAGACGAGUGUCAGAUUGGGUUCCCAGGGAGAGUUUGAGUCACUGGGGCAGGACACUUUAUCCUGAGUGGGAAGGUCAGGGCCAUGACCACAGCAUCACCACCAUGAGCAAAUGAAGUCCUCCCUUCUUUUUCACAGAAGGCACUGUAUUUUGUUCCCUCAGUAAAAAAGUGGGAGAAGAGAGGCAUAGAAAAUUUACCUUUGGGAUAAAAAUCUAUAUAUUUUAAAAAUCAACACGUAUUCUAAAUCCUUCUUAGAGCUCACAAUGUGUACUUUCAGAGGUAAGCUGUAUUCCAGUAUGUGUAACCUAUAAUAGAUGUUAUUACAUUUGAGGAUUUCGUAUUUCCAAAUUUCCUGCAGAAACAAGGAAAGAAAAAUAACAAUAUUCCACAUUUACUCUUUGGCGUAUGAGAAAUCAGACACAUUUGUAAAUGGCCUUAAAAGACCAAUGAUAGAAGAUUUAUCCCGUUAGCUCUUUUGCGAACCCCAUGUCAUUCAGGGGGUGCCAUGACCGCCCAAGUUCUCAGGACAUUGGUAGGACCAGGACUGAAGAAAAAGAGCAUGUGUGACACUCAUGGGACUCAGAGAUUUUUCUCUCAAAAUGCAAUAUUUGUGGGGAACCUGGGUCGCUCCGUUGGUUAAGCAUCUGACUCUUGAUCUCAGCUCAGGUCUUGAUAUCGGGGUCGUGAGUUCAAGUCCCAUACUGGGCUCCAUGCUGGGCAUGGAGCCUACUUGAAAGAAAGAAAGAGAGAGAGAAAGAAAGAAAGAAAGAAAGAGAGAGAGAGAGAGAGAGAGAAAGAAAGAAGGAAAGGGAAGGAAGGAAGAAAGGCAACAUUUGUUUCAAUAGGAUUGAAUAAAACCAUGAAAAUUGGAUUUUAAAAGUCAUUGCAGUAAUGAGAAGAGACAAGAGUAUUAAAUGUGCAGUAGUAAUGGAAUGAGGCACAAAGUCUUUUUUUUUUUAAGAUUUUUUAUUUUUUUAUUUGAUAGAGAGAGAUGACAAGCAGGCAGAGAGGCAGGCAGAGAGAGAGAGGAGGAAGCAGGCUCCCUGCUGAGCAGAGAGCCCGAUGCGGGGCUCCAUCCCAGGACCCCGGGAUCAUGACCUGAGCCGAAGGUAGCGGCUUAACCCACUGAGCCACCCAGGCGCCCCACACAAAGUCUUACACAUACAUGCAGGUGUACCUCCAUUUCAGGAAACCUAGAAAGUAGAAGGAGUGAUUUAAAAAAAACAAAAAACAAAAAACAGGAAAAGAAUGCUUUGUAAAGAAUAAAAACACAUAAUCUCUUCAAAUAUUUCUCUUGAAGUGUUUGCACCACGAUUAGAUUUCUCAGCAAAGAUCAAUUUAUGCACUAAUUUAAAGAAUAUAGCUACUGCAUAGAGCAAGCUAUCGCUAUAUUAAAACACAGGACAUUGAGGAGGGUAUGUGCUUCGGUGAGUGCUGUGACAUGUGUAAACCUGGCAAUUCACAGACCUGUACCCCUGGGGCUAAUAAUACAUUAUAUAUUAAUAAAAAAAAUAAAAAAUAUUAAAAAACACAGGAAAAAGGUCACCUUACUUGUUUGCAGUUUGCAUUCAGUUCUUUAUUAUGUUCCUUUCUCUUUCCCUGUGACUUUAUGUCAGAUGAACAGGGACAUGCUAAGUGCUGGAGUUUCCUUUGUUACUAUCUUCAGAACCACAGCAUUUAUUUAUAAGCGAUCCUGCCUUUAUUUUUUAAUUUUUUAAAAGACGUUAUUUAUUUAUUUAUUUGCUUGAGAGAGAUAGCGAGAGGGAGAGAGAGGGAGCACAAGGGGCCUGAGGGGCAGAAGGAGACACAGACUCUCUGCUGAGCAGGGAGCCCAAUGUGGAGCUCCAUCUGGAGCCUCAGGAUCAUGACCUGAGCCAAAGGCAGAUGCUUAACUGACUGAGCCACCCAGGAGCCUGGUGAUCCUGCCUUUAAAUCAAGGUUUCUUUCUUUCUUUCUUUUUAAACACUUAAGAAGAUAGACUUUCUCAAAUGGUCCCAGAUUUAUCCGUUGAUUCCUGGGUCCUCUGAGUAGAGAAGAUGAACAGGAGAGCUAAUGCAUUUCCUUGGCCAAGACUCCCUGCACGUGAGCUACAGAUGGUCCCCACGCUUUGAUAACUGCAUUCAUUAGUUGCUGGCAGAACAUAACCAUCUUUGUGCGUUAGGUGGGACAUGUUAAUGAACUUGAGGAGGUGGGCAUGGCUGAAAAAUGUGCCUGAUCCUCUAUGGGGCCUUUUCUGUCUUUCUACCUCUGAGCCUGAAGCCAUGAAAAAUCAUGGAAGGAAUCUGGAACAGUGUUCAUUAUAGGUUUUGGAACCUGGAGCUGCAACUGUGAAAACAGGAAUUUUGUGGUGUUACUUUGUUCUACUUUGACAUGGGCCCCCUACUUACCCGGGGAGAGUCAUUCUGAGGAGAGACAUAUGAGCUAGAUUCCUUACCAACAAUCCCCCUCAAAGCAGACCUACCCAGUGAGCCCUCCAAGCAAAUGACAGGAUUUGUGAGCAGGUUCCUUGCUCCUUGGGCCCAACCACAGGAACCUAACAUGUGCAGGACAGCACCUCAAAGAUUUUCUUGCCAUUUUCUCAGUCCUGCCAUGGCUUCCAUGGGUCCAGGCUUCAUAUUUCUGGUUAUAGUGGAAAUCAGAGGGGAGGAAUGUCAUCCUCAAAGCCAUUAGGCAAAAAAGCUUUUCUGGAAGCUUCUUACUUGCCACCAUUAUCUAUAAGAGAAGCUAUAAAAUUAUUUCAUUUUUCCAGUCCCUUGAGAGGAGAGCGGCAGGGGCACUAGUAGCAGGGGCACUUCCAGUGGCGUGUGCUAGAAGUCCCUUCCAGCUUGGCCAUCCUGUGAGUCUGAAAGCACAGCCCUUACUGAUGGCACACUGAGGUCAUUCAUCCUGGACCCGGCCAUUUACAGGAUGAUAUCCAUUGCACAUAUUCUGCAUUCUUAACCACAUAAAAUAUUGGAUUAUCCUCCAAACUUCAAUAUUUCUAUUUCACUCAUUUCUUGAAUAGCGUUUCUUGAAACCCAGCUGGGGUGUCAGACUCUGAUGUGUUUUAAGAAUAAGAGUGACAUUAACAAUUCUCAGUUGGGGGUUCAAGAUUGGAGAGAGAGAGUUAGAGCCUGGAUUAGGGCAGCUGUUGUAACAAUGGAGAAGACGGAUGGGAUUUGAGGAACAUUUAGAUGGCAAAAUCCACAGGUCUGUGUGAGCAGAGGGGAGGAAAGAGUCAGGUAGCUCCCAGGCUGCGGAGUUGUAUGCUUAUGAUGACAGAGGCUGGCAACUCCAAAUGAGAUAAAGAAUGCAGGGAAAUUGGGGAAGAAAAGAUGAGUGUGGGAAGUGGUAAUGAUGAUACUGGCUCUCACUGAUAACUCACUCACCAGCACUGGGUACUGUGCAGAGGUUCUGUGUAUGUCCCAUUUAACCAUAGUCCCAUACACCUCUGGGUAUGGGACUAUGGUUAUCUCCAUUUUUCAGAUGAGAUGAGGAUUGGAGUGGUAUGAGUAAUGUACCUGGAGUCACAUCUGAAGAGUGCUGGGGUUCGCACUUGAACCCUGACAUUCUCUCCUAAUCACAAUGCACACUACCUCCACCAGGCAAAUAGUGGAGGCAUAAAUGUGAUUUGGUUUGUGCCUUCAGAGUUUGAAGUACUUGAAGGACUUCCAGAUAAACCUGUCCAAUAGACAGCCUUUGAAGUUUAGGGAAUCAGUUUUGAUUUCAUCCAUCGUAGAUGGGUAAAAUUAUUCAGAAAAAGUCAAUCAGAUAAGAAGCAGACCGAGGUUCUUGUUCCCUGAGAGCAAACAGCUUUUAAGGAAUCAGUUCAGGAGCUGGAGCCCCUGGAGGAGACAAAGACCACAUGAUUGGAUAAACAAGGAAAAUCAGGGAAUGCAGGGUCACUAAAGCCAAGAGAGCUGGGUGUUUGAAGUAGAAAGGGUGACCAGCUUUAUCAAAUACAACAAGGAGAGGCAGUGAUGUAAGAACUUCCCACUGGACUCAGCCGUCAUGGGGACACUGGUUACUCAGGGACAAACCAAACUUUAAUGGUUUGAAGGUAAAUGAGAUAUGAAAAGUGGACGUGGCAAAUGUGGACUAAUCUUUUUGGAAGAGAAGAACAGACAAUUUGAAUAGUAACUUGGGAAGAAUGUAGAUAGAGAAGGUGGUGUCUUGGUUUGGGUGUUUGUUUUAGGAUUGAAGGUAGUUUAAUGUGUAUGGAGGCCUGGGUAACAGAGCCAGUAGAUGAAGAAUCCUGAAGAUUCAGAAGAAUCUCUGGGUGGCUGAGGCAGAAUGCUGGAGGAGGUGAAGAGGCAUGGAUGAAGGAUUGUCCGGGAAGAAGAAUCCCUGUCCUCUGAAGGUGUUGGGAAAGACGCAAGAAAGAAUGUGAAUGUGUUAGGUGGAGGGAUGGGAACUGAUCAUCAGGCCUGAUGACCUCAAGUAUCUCAAAGACGUUGGAGGUGAGCAGGUGCGGCAGGAAUUGAGAAGAGCCAAGACCAUUUCUUGUAUCUGAGAGCAUAACCAAGACAUUUAAGAUCUUUGUUCCCCUACAGAUUUUUGGUUCAGAAAGUCCAGAUAAAAUCAUUAUCUGUGAAUUUCAUGGACAGAGCACAAUUUGUCUGCUGAGAGAUUUCUUGCCCCAAAUCAUGAAGCUGGUAAGAUGUAGAGAAAUAUUUCUUAGCCAGUGCUCUCUCCACUAUUUCAUGCUGUGUUUUAAUAAAAAUAGGUUACCCAUUCCAUCAUUUUGAAGAAUCAUUUAUAUGGGAUAACAUUUCAGAUUUUUCCUUCUGUGUGUUUCUGCAUUGACGAUAAGUGUGUUCAUUUUUAAGCUCUGUGAAGUGAUGAAUAAUGGCAUCUAAGAAAGUAGGACAGUGUUUCCCAGAGUGUGUUCUCUAUGAACACGUGUCAUGUGAAAGACUCCUUAAAAAAAAAAAAAAAAAAGUUCCGUGGUCAAAUGCAUUUAGGUCAUGCUGUGUUUUGUGGCUUUUCUUGGAGAAUCCCAACACACCUUAGUAUAUUAAAGGCUCUGAGGAGGCACAGGGUCAAAAAGUGAAUCUUCUUUAGCCUCAUGUGUCUCAAAAUUGUUUCACUACAAACAUUACUCUACCAUGUUUUUAUUUUCAUUACGCUCUUUAGUAAAACAUACAACUCACUCUAGGAGAUGCUGAACUACUGUUACAGAUUACCUUAAUUCUGCAGAAUACUGUAGUCUGUGUAUUAAGGUAACUUAAUAUAUUAUCUGGUUUUUUUUCUUCUUCUUUAGUACUUUAGCUUUUGUGCCAACAUUAAAAUAACUCUAUAGGGGCGCCUGGGUGGCUCAGUGGGCUAAGCCACUGCCCUUGGCUCAGGUCAUGAUCUCAGGGUCCUGGGAUCGAGUCCUGCAUCAGGCUCUCUGCUUAGCAGAGAGCCUGCUUUCCUCUCUCUCUCUCUCUGCCUGCCUCUCUGCCUACUUGUGAUCUCUGUUAAAUAGAUAAAUAAAAUCUUUAAAAAAAUAAAUAAAAUGAAAUAACUCUAUAAAUUUGGCACUUCUACUCAGUAAUUUUCUUUUCAUAAAGGAUUACUUUACUUUGUUUUUUACAUUUAUAUAUUAUUUGCCAGAUUUUUGUUUGGCUUCUGUAAUCAUAAAGUUGAUUUACUUUCCUUUCAAACGUGUUUAUUAGAUACUCACUGAAUACCUUUCAUGUGCAAAGCACUGAAUUGGGAUUAGAGUAUUAAUAUAUGUUCAUCCUCUGAUCUUAAAGAGUCUGGAGGGGAUGGCCUGCACACUAGAAAUUGAACUGAAUACAAAUCUCUUGGGCACAGUGCUUGGGAAGCACACUGGGAGAGAGAUUGACUGUGUGACUAGUUAGAAGAGUCCCCCAGGAAGAGUUGGAUCUUAUUACAUUCCCAAUGUAAUGGGAAAACAUAUGUCCUAGAAAAAAAAAUGUAAAGUUUAGUGAAGAAAGAAAACUUGGAAACAUAUUGAAGGCGUCAUACACCUUGAUUCAAAAUUUAUAUAUUAUUAUAUAAGCAACCAGAAGCCUCUAUGGAAGAGUUUUUAAAAGGAGUAUAUUAAAAAUGUCUAAGUGUUUGCUUUUUAGCUUACUGUGGCAGAGCAUGAAAGAUAAACUGAAAGGCUGAGAUUGCUGUCAGGGACAUCAGUAACAGACUUAGGGAGAGGAAGGAAUCUUAUUAAUAGAUGACAGGGUAAAUGUGCAAUACAUCAUUCUAUAUGAUAUUUCCCUCUUUUUAAAAAAUAUUUACCUUUAUAACAAGAGGUAGUGAUUUUGUAGCUUGUUUGUUUUUUGGGGUUUUUACAUGGUCAAAUAAGACUCACCUGUAAUAAAGUAAUGCGCUAUGGUCUGAGGAAAAGGUAUAUGCCUCCGUGACUGACCCUCUUCUGUGCAUGUGGACAUUUCAGGGAUGACAGCUCCUCUGGUAAAGGGUCCAGGAAGCAAUACAGUGGUUGGGGAGGGUUUGGAACCGGCAGACCCAGUGAGAGUCCCUGUUCCACCACUCAGAGCAACAACAGAAUCACAGAUCCCCCGAGUUACAUUUCCUCACCUGAAAACAUUUACUUCUAGCAGCUAUUUAUGGAUUAAAGGAGAUAAUAUAUAGGAAAGUACCUUCUUGCCUUCUUAUUCUGGAAACAAUACUGGGAAGCAGGGAGGAUAGGAAUAGGCCUCACUGAAAAUCUGGAGACCAGAGUGCAUAGGGAUUAAGUGACUGACCCAGGGCUGUGCAGGGAAGGGGAAGUCCCCUGUCCCCAACUUCCUCUUAGAUGAUCAGAAUCUUAGCCCAGUGGUCUGUCCACAUUGGUCCUAUAAAAGAAGGCCAGGAGCACCCAGGUGGCUCUUUUAAGCAUCCGACUCUUGAUUUCAUGAUCUCAGGGUUGUGAGAUCCAGCCCCUCAUAGGACUCCGCAAUGGGCUUGGAGUCGGCUUGAGAUUCUCUCUCUUCCUCACCUUCUGCCCACCCAACCCCACUCAUGCUAUUUCUCUCUCUCUCAAUCUCUCUCUUAAAUAAAUAAAUAAAAUUUUUAAAAGAAGGCAGACACACUGUGAAGAUUAUAAUCAAAUAAUAAAAUUAAUCCUUUUACAUUUUUUUGGUAGAUUAAUCCAUUUAUACUCCUCUAAGCUUCUUAUUUGUCUCCCUGUGAAUGGAGAUUUGCUGAGGCCCUGGUUUAGCCUGACUCUAGAUAUGACUGACUCCUAAGCUUUCUAUGAAAUCAAUUUCUCUGCUAUUAUAUAUUGCCCUAGUAAUGCCCCCACCUACCCUGGGUUUGAAGAGAGAGCAGUGAGAGGGAAGAUGGCAGGGUGAGCCCUCAAAAUGUCUGCAGUCAGGACCAUUGGCACUGAGUGGGGUCCUCUGAGGAAGGAUGUGCUGUCAAAAAGGCAAAUAGGAGGCCAUUCCUCCCUCUUUUCUCUCCUGUUAGCCAAGCAAAGAUAAUGACCAUUGAACCUCCAAACAAAAAUAUCCAGUAUUUACAACAUCCAUGCUGACAGCUUAAUUAAUCAAAUAGGAACACUGACAACUCACAGGCCAAGUUCUGCUGGGAAUUAUUUGCCUACAGUUCUAGCUGAAGUGACAGAAGCUGUUUUGUCUCAAAGUAGGAGGACUCGACAUCCGUAUUUUAGUGCAAGAGACCGGUGAGGAGUCCCCUCGUCCCUGCCUUGUGACCCACAUCCCAUCCUGCAGAGCUGGAGGUUCGAAGUGUAGCCUAGGAUUUUGAGGGUAAUAGAGUCACCCGUGUGUUUUAUAACAUCAAGUAUGCUGUGUGACACACUCAUAAGAGACAGUGGAGGUUGGAGUGAGAAUCCUGCAUAGAUACCUGACUUCCUCCUCCUUCUCCCUCUUUUUUCUUCCCCUAAUUUGCCAUUGCCCUCGCUGCCCUCUCUUUUUGUCUUCAUGCCGUGUUUUGCAUUGACCUCUUUCACCUGUGAGAAUUCACAACCUUGACUAAUUAGCACCCACAUAAUUGAAACUGUACAUGACCAGAAACCUCUGGUCUGAACUCAGGGCUUAUUCAGCAUGGGCAGCGCCUGGGCUCUUCCACGUAAAUUCUCAGACAUUCUUGCAGUAUGUGAAGUUAAAAAAGGAGAGGGAAAACAUUUAAUGAAAAUUAAUGUGUCCAGUCGGCUGCCUUGCUCUUAAGUCUCCAAUCUGUGAAAAGAGAGAUAGUGUCCAAGUGGAAUGAAAAUCCACUGAAGAAUGGAUAAAAAUGGACUAAUUACUCAUAAUCUAUGCCAUCUCAUUACUCUGUGAGUGUGUUUCAUGGACUGACGAGGGACUGACUGGGAAGCUCUUGGAACUCCUUAGUGAUAGUUGCUUGCUAAUAAGAUGACCCAAUUACCAGGCUUAUUUUGAAUAUCACAACUAUAUAGGAAAGCUAAAUCCUUACAGUAUUCCUUAAGGCAGUAUAACCUUCAUAAAGCAUUACUAUAGCAGCAUCCAGAGCCAGACAGCUGUGGGAUGACCACAGGUGAGCUAUAAAUAGCAGCACCUCUCCCUUUCUAUCCUUUUCACCUUUUAUUUCUUCUCAGCAUCUCAGCCUUGUAAUGUUUUCCAUCCUUUUCAUGUCAUUUCUCUUACUCCUCAUCUCUGUCUCUUUCUGUUUGUCUCUUGCUCUCACUCUUGUUCUCUCUCUUGUGCAUACAUACACAUAGUCUUAUGGGUGGAUAUUUUGGUAUUUACCCAUUAGGGGAGUAAUAAGGGUUAUCCUGAGGAGCUGGGUACAGCAAUUUGUGUGUGAGCCUUCAGGAAGCGCAGUGGGAUGCUCUGAAUGACUGGCUUAUCUCUGGCUAAAGUGAGUUUAACCACCUAGAGGCUCUUUGGCUGCACUGUUGAAGGUUCUUUGUGGGGCCUUGAUGUGGCUUCUUUUAUUUCCCUAUUUCCUCUCCAUUUCUGUUUAAGUGUCUUUAUAAUAUCUCAUGUCAUACUAGUUCAGUGAAUUUCUGAUGCAGAAACCUCCACUGUGUCUGGCACUGUGUGAGAUGCCAUGGAAGAUUUAAGACACCAUCCCUGUCCUUAAAGAGCUUACUGUGGUUGGGGUGAGAAUUCCGCAAUUAAUAAACACAACCAGGUAGUAUAAAAUCUAUUUCCUUACCAGAAAUGUGUGAGAGAGGCGGGCAGACAGGAGGGACCUAGGCUAGAGGUAAAGGGUGAGGUCUUGGGAAAAGGCAAGUAAGUUCUUAGGAUGGAUGUUGAGGAACUGGGAGUAUCACAAAAGGGACAGGAAGUACAUAACUUCCAGGCUGGGAGGAAGGCAUUCUUGGAAGCCUAAGUGUAUUUUCUGCUGAUGUACACAUAUUUCUAAUGAGAAGAGGAAUCCUGAACUGAAUCAGUUCUCACAGCUGUAUUUGGUUUGGGCACCACUGGUUCUUGAGGGUCCCAGAGUUUCAUGGAGUUUGCUGGGCUAUGGAGACCCAUUCUGACAAGCCCAUUAAGGAUGCACUUACCUAUGGAGUCAGCCUCUGGUUAUUGUUUGCUUAGUGAAUGUUUUCACUAACUAGAAUUCAGAGUUUUUCCACUGAGUCUUCUGCAGGGGUUUGUAGAGGUGAGCUGUGACAUCUGGAUUCUCCACACAGCAGAAUCAUUAUCGCCACUAAGCAAUCCACUUCAUCAUGUCAGAUUAAAACACGAGCCCUGAAAAACUAUCUUUUGUCAAAGAUCAGAAUCUCAUUAACAUGAUCGAAUGCAAUUAAGUCACCAUUAGCUUUCAAGAGAAGUUUAAAAGGGGCUCAGUAAAUGGUGGAGGUCUCUGUGCACAUGAAGGCUCAAGAGACUUGGGUGAUAUCCGCAUCCCUUUACUUUACCACCCAAUAUGCCUGUAAGGGGAGGAGAGAGAAUGAUAUCUACAAUCCAUAUUUUCCUAAUAAUCUAAAGAUGAUCAAAUUCUCAUACUUCAAACUGAGAAACCAAGUACACUUUAAAAAUAAAGGCUUCCAGAAAGGAAUCUGUAGAAUGAUAAUAAAAUGGAUUAUAGUAAAAAUAGAUUUUCAGUCUCAUUCAUUCAUUCAUGCAUACUUUAUGUUCACCAGCAUAUGAUUACCACUGCUGAAUCUAUAGUCAGGUAGAGAGGCUGCUGCCUAUAUGAUGCCAUGAAAGGUAUUCUAGCAACAGGAUGUUGAAUUUCUCCAUUGUAUUUACUCGUUCAAAUUAAUGCAUAAUAUCUGAAGCUCCCUUAGAAAAAUGAAAAUACUCUGUAAGGAUGGAUAAUAUUAUCCAUCUGACCUGUUUGCAAAUUUGUACAAAUAGGCUCUGCAGAAUAACUAGCUGACACUCUGCGGAGAGCAAUGUCCUGAGGAAACAAGAUAUUCUGACAGUAAAUAUUGAGAAAAAAGAUGAAAAGCUUUGGAAGUCAGGUAUGAAGAGAUGCAGGAGAAUAGGGUACCAUAAGUUGAAAGUGUGUGGAAUGAAAGAGAUGGAGGGUUGAGCUUAUAUUCAAGGCAGAAACCAACCAGGAGCUGAAGGAGGAAGAGGCGAGCCCAGGAGUGCUGCCCACCAAGCAGUUAGGAUUGGCUGCUCUGAAAAUCAUGCCUCUCUAAAUGUUUUACUCUGUGUACUUGCUCAUUGUUAAAUGUGAAGCAUUUCAAAGCUUGAUGCUUUUCAUAGAAUCACAGAAUCAUAAAUAUUUGGGCACUGGAAAGUAGCAUAGCCAUCACUUUGCCCAACUAACUGUUUUAUGGGUCUGGAAACUACCCAUGACCAAUAAAGUCUUCAAAUGCUUUCUUGCACGAGUUCAACCCGGGGCCUGGUAGAGCAAAGUGGAUCACAGCUAGAGUGGCCCUAUAAAGCAUCCUCCAAGCCAAGACACUUUUGAGAGGGGAUGAGUGACUAAAUAGAUGAGAGGCUAAGAAAAUAGGCAUCAUCUGGGGCUGUCCUUGGCAAACCUUGGAUAUAUGAUUGCUAAAUCAGAGCUGAGGCAAGAGGAAACUACUAGAAAAUCAGAGGUAUAUAGAGAGGAAAACAGAACAGUCUAAUAAUGUUAAAAAAAAAGUGGAAUGAGUGUCCAAACAGGGCACAGAAAAACCAUUUCAGAUGGGGAAGAUGUGAUGAGCCAAGAGCAUUUGACUGAAUGUGGUGCCAUGUUAACAUGGCUUUGGAAGUGCACACUUGGGAUGGUGAGUUCCUCCAGCAUGGUGAGGUCAAGCAGGGACAUCCAUUCAAGAUGAGGCAGAGCAAAGGAAAGGAGACCCAGCAACCGGAAGUGAACAUAUAGGCACAGAGCUGGAAGCAUGCCCCAGUGAGCUAUCUGAGACAUAGUGUGGGCUCCUUUGCACUUCCUCACUACAGGAGCAAAGAGACCUGAGCUACUGCUGGAGCUGAGGCAGAAGGCAGCCACUUUUGCCACCCAGAAGAUGAGAGCUAAACCUCUCUCUAGAUCUCUUUUGGAGCUGCGCAAGAUAUUACCACAGUCCUCUAUAACCCCUCAGGGUUCUGGGAGGCCUUAGCUGCCUUGAGUUCUCUGGAUGUUUAAUCAGAUCACCUGGGAGAGUCCUAGGACUGGACAGGGAGAGUAACAGAGACUUGGAACAAAUAGGGGAAUAAACAGGCCAUAGUCCGUGAGUGUGGUUCAACAAGUGUGGAACCCCCAGUCAGGUCUGCCAUCAUUCUCUCUGUGUGUGGUCUAGCUAUAGGAGGAAGUUACAGUUAUAAUCUACCUUUCACAUGUGAGGAAACAGAGGCAGUGGUCUUGAAAAUGUAUUGGGCAGUUCAGAAAUCUUUAUGUUGGCACUACCUUUGCACUUGCCUUCCUUGGCAGCACUUGGUCACCAAACAUCUCGACACUAUACCCCAUGAAAUUAGCCUUUGGCAACAUUCUAAAGGGACUGGUCCCAGCUAACAGCUAAUGGCAAGAUUCUAUAAACCCAUUCUUGUUAAAAUUCAAAUAUUAACUAUCACCUCCAUAUUUAUUUUUCAUGGAAAUAAUUUAAAUGAAUACAUUGUCGUAGUUGAGUUCCAUUCAUUGUGUACAAUUUGGAGAUGGGGAUGGGUUCCUAUCUUUAUUUCCCAUUCAGUGAACCCUGUAUCCUCCCAAGAUCUUUCCAGAUCCCAACUUCAGCAUUAGGUCAGAAAUGCUAGGACCAGCCAAUAUUCAGAAUCUGAAUUCUACUGAUUCCUCUUCGAAGGAAGAGACUACCUAUGAGAAACUUGGUUAAGGUAUAGUCCUGGCAGGACAGCCCUAAGGCAGGCCCUGAGUGAGGCAGAGGGGAUAGAGAAGAGAGAUGAGACAUUACUAUUGGCUGAAUUUUUUUUCUCUUGUCCAUCCACCAAACUCCUAUAUUGAAGCCCUAACCCCCAACGGGAUGGUCUUUGUUGCUGGAGCCUUUGAGAGAUAAUUAGGAUUAGAUGAGGUCAUGAAGUUGGGGCCUGAUGAUGGGAUUUAUAUCCUUUUAAGAAGACAGAUCAGAGCCAUGUCUCCCCACACCAUGUGAAGUAUGAUUUAUAUGACACCAUAAACCUGGCCUUCUGGGAGCUCCAUCAUCCCUAUUUCAUUGAUUUACUAAGUAACCAUCCCUGUAUUGAUUUCUUCAGACUUGGACUCUGUUUGCAUUAUUAUGCAACAGGCUGAGCCCUUCAUUGACAGUUUGUUCCUCAUCACCCAGUUUUGUAUUCUCCUAGAGCUGAUGCUUCUUGAGGGGAAAGGCUGUAUUUGCCUGUUGUUAAUAAUAGGCUAUUGCCUAGUGCAGGGCAGUCAAGAGGGUAUCCCUUUGGCACAUACUUUUGCUGCCAUCUGCAAGGUAAGAAGUGGGUUCUCACCAGGAACCAAAUUUGCCUGUGUCUUGAUCUUGGACUUUCCAGCCUCCAGAACAGUGAGAAAUGAAUGUCUGUUGUUUAAGCCAGCAGGUCUGGUAUUUUGGUACAGCAGUCCCAACAGGCUGAGAUAGACACCAUAGAAUGAGAAUCCUUGGGGACUGAUCCUUCUUGCCAUCCAGGGGCUAAUGGAGUAUGUGCAGCCCUGUGUGCUGUGGUAUUGGCCCAGAGAGAAAUACACAUGCAGGAAAUUUUGGGGGGAAGCACCUUCUCAGCACGAUGCUAUCAACUCUUCCAUUAAAGUUGUUAUGCUUUCCAUCUGGACUUAUAAGAAUGAAUGCUUGUUCAAGUCCUGUUUCCUUGACUGAGAAAACAUAAAGGCAAUAUAUCUUUCUGUUUCCAUCCCCUAACUGGCUCCCAAAGAGAGAAGCCAUGUUUGAUGUCCAGCAUCUCAAAGUUGGUUUUGUUCACCGGAAAAUUAGUGCACAGGAUAGACAAGAGCCCUUAGUAUUUGAAGCAAUUAAUUCCACAGAAAGAGACAAAAACAAACUUUCUAUGACUAAAAUGAUGGACAUGAAGUAGUGGAGACAGCUAGUUUGGCAUUUUCCAUCAAACAACUUUUUUAUUUGUGCAACAUAUUUCUAAGUGAUAGAAAGUGACACACUGUCUCCAUUACACUUCAUUUCCGUCAUUUCAUUUUUUUUCUAACUUUCAUAUUUGUGAAACAAAUUGCUUUAAACAUGUCAAAGACACUUGAGUGGAGUGUUAGCCAAAUUUUAAAAAUAAAGAUGAUUCAUAAAGACAGCAUUUGUGUUUAUAACCACCGAGAUAAAAUUUCAAGAAAAAAAAAUCACAGUCCUGAUUAUUUAGGGCACAACUAUAAGGUAAUCAUCUUCAGAAGUUAGAAAGAAAUCUCUUUGCUCUCUGCUUCACUUCCCCUAGAUUUAUAUGACACCGUAAACCUGGCCUUCUGGGUGCUCCAUCAUCCCUAUUUCGUUGAUUACUAAGUAACCGUCCCCAUAUUGAUUUCUUCAGACUUGGACUCUGUUUGCAUUAUUAUGCAACAGGCUGAGCCCUUCAUUGACAGUUUGCUCCUCAUCACCCAGUUUUGUAUUCUCCUGGAGCUGAUGCUUCUUGAGGGGAAAGGCUGUAUUUUGCCUGUUGUUAAAAAUAGGCUAUUGCCUAGGGCGGGGCAAUCAAGAGGGUAUCCCUUCGGUGCAUACUUUUGAAGAAUUGAUAUUGGAGUUCCAAAGAGAGAAAGAUCCAUGAGUAUUGCUCUCUUUAGAAAAAUUGGAAGACCUACAUCACUGAUGAUAUUAAAAAAAAAAAAAGAAAGAAAGAAAGAAGAAGAACAUGGAUAAUUGUACAAAUAACAGGUAUAUAUGUUGUUCUGUUGCAAAAAAAAAAUUAAGACUUUAUUUAUUUGAGAGCGAGCGAGCAUGUGUACGAGCAGGAGAGGGGGCAGGGGGAGAGGGAGAAGCAGACUUUGCACAGAGCCUGGGGUUUAAUUCCACGACCCGGAGAUAAAGAAGUCAGACACUUUACCAAAUGAGCCAUCCAGGCCCCCCCGUGAAAGUCUUUUCUUUUUUUAAUUUUGUAACAAACUACACUAACAAGUGUACAAAUUAACAAGAAUAGUACAAAAUGGGGUGUCUGAGUGGCUCAGUCGUUAAGCCUCUGCCUUUGGCUCAGUCCUGGGAUCAAGCCCCACAUUGGGCUCCCUGCUCAGCAGGAAGCCUGCUUCUCCCUCUCCCACUCCUCCUGCUUGUGUUUUUCUCUCACUGUGUCUUUCUCUCUCUCUGUCAAAUAAAUAAAAAAUAAAUAUAUUUUCAAAAAGAAUAGUACAAAACACUUUCUUUUCAGAACCGUUAGAGAGCUGUCAAUCUGUUGUCCCAUGUCUUUACAUUCUCCUAUAUAACCCUCAAAAUCAGGAAAUUAACAUUGUGCAGUUAUGAUCAUCUCAUCUUCAGACUCCAUUUGAGUGUCAUUACUUACUUGUCUUGACUUUCAUUACUUGACACCUUUGAAGCACACAAAAGCAGUCAAUUUUGUAGAAUGCCUCUCAGUUUGGGUUUCUCUAAUGUGUCCUCGUGAUUGCAAUGUGGUUAUGCAUCUCUGGCAGUAAUACACAAAAGUGGUUGGCAUUCUUUUCAGUGAAUCCUAUCUGGUUGCACAUGAUUUUUUACAGACCCCAUUACUGAUGAUGUUGACUCUGAUCUCUUAAGGAAAGCAGUGUUACAGGUUGGUGUUUUAGUCUAUUCGGGCUGCUCUACAGAGUGCCGUAGACAGGGUGGCUUAUAAACAAUAGACAUUUACUUCUCGCAGUGCUGGAGGGCUGAAAAGUCCAAAAAGCAAGGUGCCAAUAGAUCUAGUGUUUGAUGAGACCCUACUUCUGGUUCAUAGACAGGUAUCUUCUUGCUGUGUCCUGACGUGGUGGAAAGGGUAAGGGAGCUCUCCAGGAUAUCUCUUACAGGGGCACAAUUUCCAUUCAUGAGGGCUCCAUCCUUGUAGACUAGUUGUCUUCCCAAGGACCCCCCUCCACAUACCAUCUUAUUGAGGGUUAGAUUUCAACAUAGAGUUUGGGGGAUGGGGAUAUCAGCAUUCAGUGUAUAACAGUAGGGUUCCACUGGAAGUAAACUUUGAAAUUAGUAGGAAAGAAGUUGAAUACAGAAUGCUCUUGGGAAUACUUGGGCAGAGGGAGAGGAUGAGCCUUGAGCAGUCCUAACAAAGGCCAUACCUGAUCUCAUGGAGAGUUUUGGAGCUAGAACAGGUCUUCAGAGGCAAUUUUCUUCAGCUUUGGCAAUUCCCAAAGAGAACUGACCCACCAAGAACCAUUUUCUGGCAUCACUCCCAGCAACUCCAGGCAGUACAUCUCAGAACCGAACCCAGUGAUGUCUGUCAGGGGUCCCUACUGCAAAGUUAUUUUUUUCCCCUCCUUUGUAGUUAAUAAGUAUUUUAUAAGAAAUUACCUUGAGACUCUGAAUUUAUUUCAUUCAUCAUCAAAACUUUUACUGAUAGAAUGAUUGAUGCCUGUAUGAAUUCAUAAUUUCCUCUUUUAAUUAAACAGGUUACUAUCAUUAAUUAAUUUGAUGUUCAAAUUAUCCUAGAUUUUGCCAGUUGGAAGAUCCUCCAACUGGCUUCCAUGUCCUUCCUUCCUUAUUUUCUGGCACAACAGGAUGUUUCAGGCUCAUUCUUAUGUUCUCCCUGCCCCAGUCCUAAAAUCAACCAUUUCUCUGAGGAGUCCUGCUUCCUUUUAAUAAAAAAGUAAUAUUUAGAAGUCAUGAUCUGAAUCCUGUGUGGGCUCACUGCUAUUUUACCACCUGUCAGUAUUUCCCAAUUGAAUGUAGGUUUAUCUCACUCAUUGUUUUUGCUUCUAUGAAAUAUCUAUGAUGAUCCUGACCCCUGACUCCUGACCUUCAUAACAUUUCUCAUCCUUGAGGUUUCUUCUAAUUUAUACCCAAAGAGACUUGAAUGAGUAUGGUAUAUAGGACAGAAAAUAAUAUCACUCAUAAACUGAUACUUCAUGAAACUUCACAACAUGACAACUGUGUGCUUUGUGUUUGUGUUAGCUUCUAUGACUGCUGUAACAAAUGAUUAUAAUCUUAGGGGCUUAAAACAAUACAAAUGUAUUAUUUUGACAUUAAGCAUAAUGAUAAUGACUGAUCAAGGUGUAAUUAUACUUUAACCAAGAUCCUUAUACCCAAUCUUUUCCCUCAGGGAGGAAUCAGUGAAAUUCAUAUCCAGGCCUGGCAUCUGGAAAGGUCUUGGAAGGAUACAGUGUCCACUGAAUGGGAGGUGAAAACAGGAGCCCAUCCCUCUCUCCAAGUUGUGUGCCAUAACAAUAUAUUCAUUUUAAAAUAUUAGGGAACUAAUUCCAUAAAGAGUGAAUUUGGAGAUGAUAGGAAGUGUAACUAGUCUUAUCAGAUAUUAAAAUUUUAUCAAAAGUGGAUUUAUUAGACUCUUGGUAUUUACUAUUAGCUGAGACCAGUUCCCUUAGAAUGAGUAGCCAAAUGGCUGUUUUUAUUAGGUAUAGUGUGGAGUUGUUUGGUCUUCAGGAGCUGUUGGGGAGGCAGGCCCCGAGGAAGUCCUAAAGUGAGGAUUCUUUGGCUCCUCAGCAGUAUGAAACUUCAGAGCAUAUGCCCUGAGUUUGGGGUUAAACUUUGGAGUUCAGGAGUAGUGACAGAUGUUUUUGACAAAAUUCCCUCAUAGUGCCAAUUUCCAAAGGACAGGACUUGGAUGUCACUCAAAGUGGGCCAACUUGCACACCUUUAAUCCACAAAUAAAGAGAAACUUGAAAGUUACCUUUAUUUUAAAAAUUUUAGGCAAAUCAGUGGGCAACAGGUUGCCAGAGAAAAUGAGAGAAGACUGGAAUAUCUUGGGCCUUGGGGAGACAAUAGCCUUCUUCCACAGGCAUCUCUAAGCAGGGCUUCACUGGUCCAACCUACGAUAUGGUUCCUUUACAUCCUUGUGUUUAAACAAGGUCUUCUUCAUGGUCACUUAUGUAGUUGAUUAUGUCAUUGUCAUGAAAAUCAGGCUAAAGUACAGUUCUUUUUAUGAUGCCCCUAAAUGUAAGCAGUGAUUAGCUCAUGAUGCAACUAUGAACAUCUAUAAUAAGCAAAUGAACACCCACACUUAAAGGUACAUAGGAUGUAAUAAAAUGCAACACUUGUCAUUCUUUGUGCCCAUCUCUCAAGUUCUACUUUUUGUUGUUAUGUCUUUAAUAAAGUUGUUCCUGCCUCCACCAUUGAUUCACUGCUCUAGAUCUGUUAGCGUCAUGUGGCAUUAGACUUCCGACUGGAAUUACAAUCUAAACUUGGUGUUUGAGUAUAAACUUACUGAGUACAAGAAAUAUAUCAUCUACCUCUCAUAUACUACCUUUGUCAAUUCCAGGUAAAGUGAUAGGACUUUGCUUAUAGUCAGCAAUUUAUAAAUAUCUGUUUACAUAAAUGUUUAUUGAGUAUGUAUUGUUGAUAUCCACCUGCAGACCAACACCAAAUGGACUGCAUCUCAUUGCCUAGAAUAUUUCUAUGCUGAUUUUUGCUCUGUCAGCAGUUGGUUUGAUUUCUGGCAAUGCAAACUCAUUUAACACUUGCUUUUAUGAAUUGCAUUCAUAUAUUUGCAUUCCAAAGACAGACAAAUAUUUUUGUUAGAUUACAAUGAUUUGUCCUUAUUCCCAUCCGCAAUGGCAUUAAAUUAUUAACAAGAAUUGAAUGUUUUAGUGACAAUUUCAUCAGAGGAUGGCUUUGCUUGGAAGAUAUUCAGCUAAACUUUUGAUCCUAUCCUUGUUGGCUAAUGACACUGUUUUUGAAGCCAGUUGCUAUUAUUUUAGCUAAAUGAGUCUUUCUCAUAGGACCCACAAGCCUAAGUCUGCUUACAUGAUGGAUAUAGCUCAAACAAAUGGAGUUUUGGCUCCAUACAAUUACCAUUUGCUGGGGAAAUCCAGUUCUUGUAGUAGGGAAUUUUUGUGGCAUGCUCCCUGAGGCUGAUUGAGAAGAUAAAGGAGGUAGGCAUCAAAGCUGCUAGCCAUCAUACCUCCAGUCAGUGAUCCCCACUUUUAAUGCAAGUGUAUUUUUCUGCCCUCUCCAAACCUGGCUUGGGUUUCCAGAGCCCACGUUGAGGGUGGCAGAACCCCAGGAAAAGGUGGAAUCAUCCUUUAUCCCUCCCUUGAAAGUGUUGCUAACAGUUGGAGUGAAAAGGGGGAAAUAAAGCCCAAAACCCUGACAUGCAUUUUGGUUUAUAAUCAUGAAAUACAUCAAAGUACAAUAAACUAGUCAUUGUGGCAUCAACAUUUUAGCUCUCUCCUUGACAUUGUUGAAAUCUGGAGGAUUUAAACUUCAAUGAAUUGGUAAAACAAUAGACCCUCAUUUAAAUUCAUGCUAGGGAAGGACUAAAACUUGCUCUAGAAACAAUUAUGAUGUAGACAAACUUUGUACUCCAAAUAGCCACAUUUUUGUACCAUAUUCCAUGAGCAAGUUUCCCCAUGUUUAAUGUCCACUUGUCUUCCAGCUGUGAAACAAGCUUUAAGGAAAGUUAUGGUAAUCAGGUUUCAUAUCACAGAAUAAUGAAUGUAAGCAAACUUCCCAGAGAUAUAAACAUUUUAGCACUAUCUCUGAUUUGUUCUCCAUUGGGAGGAUUUUUAUUAUUGAAAGGCAAAGUGGGAGUAUUUUAGGAUGUCAAGAGGUCUUCCUAAUCUUCUAGAUUGUUCUCCUAUAGUCUUCACACAGCAGCCAAUGUGAUUUUUAGGAAUAGCUCAAGACAAACAAUGUGUUUUAUCUAGUGAUUUCUUUUCUCUCUCAGAAUAAAUUCCAAAGUCCUGACAUCAACUUACAAAGCCUUACUUGAUGCCCUGACUGUCCCUUACCUCAUCUCCUAUUGCUCUUUCCAAUAUUCCUUCUGCUCUAAGGCACAGCAGUCUCUUCAAGCAUACUAAGUAUCACCUUCCUCAGGACCUUUGCACUUACUGCAGUGCUCUUCUCCAGAUGUUUGCAUGGCUUAUUUCUUCUCUUCUUUUACAUCUCUGCUCAAAUGCCACCUUACCAGAGAGCCCUACCUAGUCUCUCUCUCCAAAUCAGCACCCUAACCCCAUUAUUUUCUGUACCCUUAAGCUGUUUUAUUUAUUUUCACGGCAUUUACUUCCAUUGAUAUGUAUAUAUUUAUUUUUCUAUUGUCUGUUUCUCCCCACUAAACUAUAUGCUCCAUGAUCCUAUCUGUGUUGAUGUCACUAUAUUCUCAGUACCUAGAGCAGUGCCUGGCAUUUUUUUUUUAUGUUUUUAAAAUAGUUUAUUUAUUUAUUUGAGAGAAAGAGAGAACACAGGCAGGCAGAGGGGCAGAGGGGCAGAAGGGCAGAGGGAGAGGGAGAAGCGGGCUCCCUGGAGCUGGAUGCUGGACUCCAUCCCAGGACACUGGGAUCAUGACCUGAGCUGAAGACAGAUGCUUUACUGACUGAGCUACCUAGGUUCUUGCAGUGCCUGGCAUUUAAAUGGUGCUUGGUAAAUAUCUGUUGAAUAAAUCUUUAGACCAUACCACAUCAGGAGCCACCUUCUUCUCUCCCCACGUGUCAUGCUCAGAAAUAAAAAUAAAAUAGGUUUAAUGAGUUUUAUUUUCUGUUAUGACAAUCAGACACCGUAUUAUAAUGAGAAUUAUAAUAUGUUCAGCUCCUGCCAUGCCCUUCACACAUAUUAUUAUUUAAACUUCAUCCUUUGUAAGGCUAGUUUACAGAUGAAAAACAGACUGGGAAGCUGAUUAGCUUUCCCAGUUAUAAGUGCUAGACCAAACAGGCCUGGGUUCAAAUUACAUAAGUUCUGUGAGCCCCAGUUUUCCCAGAUAUUACAUGGUCAUAACUGUUAGAGCUGAUAGAGAGUAUUAGUACUAUUUGACACACUACAUGGUCAGGGUUCAGAGGUUACAACAGAAAUUUCUCUAGGUUGUAUAAGCAAUGGAAGUGUAGUCAAAGGAAUCAGUUACACUGCUGAGAGAACAACCAAGAAUCCAGAGCGAAUGAAGCAGCUCAAGAAUUAGUAACAGCAGAAAAUUUGCUACCACACUGGGAGUUGGAGGCACAUUGUAGAGGAGGAGGGCUUACCAGAACCCAGAAGUAAUCCCCAAGGGCUAGAGCUAUGGCAGGGACUAUCCAGUUCCCAGUGGGAGUUGAGAACCUUGAAGGAGUUUCAGCAUCUCCAGAAGCAGAGAGAGAAGGGAAGACAGACCCUGGCAUGUACCCCAUCUGCCUCCAAAGGCUCUCAUGGAUCAAACCUAUCUAGAAGCCAGAGAACAAAGGAGCGUGGAAUAAGAUUUUCUGUAGAACCAGGAUGACAGUUCUAUGGGGUAUAGGCUUUGGGUCUGAGAACAAACAACCAGGAGGCCAACAAGCACACUGAGCACAAACAGUAGUUGGUUUUCCCAAGUUGACAACCUGGAACUCAAAUACAGAUUCUCUGACUUCUAUUCCUCCCGUUCCUUAGGAAUUGGAUCAGCAAUAUGAGCAAAUCUACAGUGUAGUGUUAUGUUCUAUAACCAACUUUAUCUAAGUCAUAGAGAUUUUAUGUUCAUGAUUUUUUUUUAAACUAAAAAUAUUCUGUCUUCUCUCAAAUGAGGCAACACAUUCCUGUGGUUAAGGGGAUUUCCAGAAAACUAGUUUCAUUGAGUAAAGCUCCAUGGCAGUUAACCACAUCAGACCUGACUUCUGGAGCAGACCCCUUAGAAAGCAGCAUGCUCAACAAAGCUUGCAACUUAAUCAUGAUUCUUAGGACUUAAGAGGGUGAUGUUUUACUUGUGACUGUAUACAUAACAACUAAAAUGGCGCCUGGAACCAGUAGGCACUCAAAAGCUCAUGGGUGAAGAAUGAACAUAACCUAGGGUUAGUUUGGUUCCACCCCUGUCACUCAGAACCAGCAUCUCCCACCUAACCAAGCCUCUAUUGCUUCUACCCUAACUGUUCACUUAUCCUCCCUUUUAGGUCAUUAUCUGGAGCCAGUCAUUUUCACUCUGAGGAUACUGUCAUGUCUCACCUGAAUACUUAUUAGCCCUCUGCCUGGUUUUACUCCAUGGCUGUCCCCUCCAAGCCAUUCUCCAAUCCCACCAUCAAAGUCAUCUUUCCAAAGAUAGGGCAGGAGCUUCUCAAUGGCUCCUGCCCUAUCUCCAGCCCCUCCUGAGACAUAGCCCAAUACCUUUGCAGAGCCUCAAAUGUCCCUUUGGUUCUUACUCUGUCCAAGCCACCUGCUUCUACUACCAUAGGGGUUUCAUCUUUCCUGUAUGCCCCACACUUUCCUUAUUCCCUCUGCUGGGAAGGCUUCUCCCCACAUUGUCCAUCUUUAAAAUUAUAUCCCAAAGCUACCUUCUCUGAGGAAUCCUCUCUGCCAUGCCUGUACCUCAUGGCUAAUAACCCCAGCUACAGCCUGGUGUACUGUAGGCACAGGGGCUCUACAGUCUUAAUUCAUAGAUGAAGAAAUUCUUAUAUCUCAAUGCCAUUGAGGUUAUUUCUGAUUUUUUCCUCAAGUCCUUUUCCUCCUCUCUAUGUUGUUGGAAGCACCUUACGCCAGGCUCUGGUCUCCUCAUGUACAGAUUAUUACCUUGCUUGGCCAUGGAAGGUGUGUACUUCUUAAUGUUGAUGGUGCAUCAAGAGGUAGCUUUAUUAUUAUUACUACUAUUAUUGUUAUUAUUAUUAUUUUUAGUCACCCAAAGAGCCUAACACAGUGCUGGUUAUUUCACAAAAUUUCAUCUUACUCUGAAACAGAUUUUAAAAGACAUAAGAUGGGGCACUGGGUGGCUCAGAGGGUUAAGCCUCGGCCUUCCGCUCAGGUCAUGGUCUCAGGGUCCUGGGAUUGAGCCCCCCAUUGGGCUCUCUGCUCAGCAGGGAGCCUGCUUCCCCCUCUCUCUCCCUGCCUCUCUGCCUACUUGUGAUCUCUCUGUCAAAUAAAUAAAUAAAAUAUUUAAAAAAAAUAAAAGACAUAGAAAAGAUUGAAAGAAAAGUGAAAUAAAAUUGAGAUAGAAAAGGUGCUUAAAGAAAGUCUAUCUUCAAUUUACCAAAUAUUUUUUGAGCACCUACUGUGUUCCAACCAUCUUGCCUGCCACUGGGUAUGCAAUGUUAAACACAAAUCAGUCUCUGUCCUCAACAAGCUUCCCUUUCCUUCCUCAGUUUGCUGGAUCCACAGAAGACACAUUGCCAGGAAGCUUUCUUCCCUUAAGAAACAUCUGAAAAUAUAUGUAUAAACUCUCCCACUGGCAAAAUACGAAACAGGGCAAAUUCCUGAGGUCCUCGAUGAAAUGAUUUGCUUUUGAACAUUGGCGUUUCUCUCCUCUUCGUUGUUACCACCCAAGAUUCCUACGCCUUUCAUUUAAUUGUUUCUUUUUUGAUGGUGGUAUUUCGUUUUUGUAGUUGGUAACCUGAUGUUUCUGAAGGUAAUGCAGGGACUCAUCACAUCCUGGUUGCUGUGCACUGCUGUUUGAUCUCAAGGCUGUUGAAACCAGGUUUCCUGGGCACCUGGGUGGCUCAGUGGGUUAAGCCGCUGCCUUCGGCUCAGGUCAUGAUCUCAGGGUCCUGGGAUCGAGGCCCGCAUCGGGUUCUCUGCUCAGCAGGGAGCCUGAUUCCUCCUCUCUCUUUGCCUGCUUGUGAUCUCUCUCUGUCAAAUAAGUAAAUAAAAUAUUUAAAAAAAAAAAAAACAGGUUUCCUUUCCUAUACAAGUCUACAUACUCCUUUUUCCAGCUCUACCACAUGCACCAUGUUGCCACAACAACACUUUCAGGGCCCGUUUGGAAAUUGAUUGAUUAUUUUGAGCGUGAGAGAUGCAUCUCAGGAAAAACAAAUGAAUCAAAUAGAAAAAUGAAUUAACAUCAUGAAAUUUACCUUCCCAGCUGGAGACAUGAUGUAUUCAUGUGUUCCCUAGAGAGGAUCCUCUUUUAAGAAUUCACUAUUAAAGAAAGUCUGCAAUUAGGUGGAGUCAGAGCUCAACUUAAAACAUAUUUAUAUGUGAAUGGAAAACACCCCUUUAAAGGAAAAGGUUUCGAACUAGAAAUUUUCAUUUCUUAUGAAAGAUGCUUGGAAUUGACAACUGGCUUGCUACAGGCAUCUCGUUCCAGAUCUUCUAAAGUCUCUGUGAUACUCUUUUUUUUUUUUUUCAGCAUAACAGUAUUCAUUGUUUUUGUUACCACACCCAGUGCUCCAUGCAAUCCCUGCCCUCUCUAAUACCCACCACCUGGCUCCCCCAACCCCCCACCCCCCACCCGCCCCUUCAAAACCCUCAGAUUGUUUUUCAGAGUCCAUAGUCUCUCAUGGUUCACCUCCCCUUCCAAUUUCCCCCAACUCCCUUCUCCUAACUUCCCAUGUCCUCCAUGCUAUUGUUAUGCUCCACAAAUAAGUGAAAUUAUAUGAUAAUUGACUCUCUCUGCUUGACUUAUUUCACUAAGCAUAAUCUCUGUGAUACUCUGAAUUGGACUUGACAUCUUCAAAAAGCACGAUUCAGUCCCAUUGACAUUUAUGGUGCACCUGUUUGGUACAUGGCAUUCUGACAGCAUUCUAUGGGGCUAUAAAGACAAGUAAGAUAAUAUCUUUGUUUCGUUUAAUAAGAAAAAUAGAGAUGUAAGUGAAUAAGAAAGAACAGUUUUGUUUGGGCUUUUCGGGUGUUGUUACUAAGUCUAGCAUAGAUGGAGCACAACUUUGGUCACUUCACUUGUAGGCGAUGUUGCCAAGAUGAGAGAAGUGGAGGUGUUCUGAGGUAUAAACUUCUUCAUUUCAGAGCACCAAGGCAAAGUGACUGGCAGACCUACUCCUCCUCCUUGCUGAGUAUGAUCUUCUGGGUUUUAGGUAUGAGCAAAAUGAAGUAAAAAAAAUUCUAUUUAGCAACAAUAUUCGACCAUACUGACCAUACUAUAUGCUGGUUGGUGCUCUUUUUGGACUAUCUGGGAACCUAAUUAGCACAAGGACAUUAUGUUUACUUUUUCCUUUUUCUGACAUUGUGUUUUUAAUUAAAAAAAAAAAAAAUUCCAGGCAAUAAACUCACUAAGAAUGAAUUUUUAAAAUACAACAUGUUCCUCUGUAGAGUUUUGCCUAGGCAGCACUUUGCAUGAAGAGGGUUCUCUGGUCUGUGCAAUGAAUCAUUGAGAGCUAAUUUUCCCCAGGGACACAGAGGGAGAAUAGGACCUGGAGGUGGAUUUCUCUUUUCUGUCAUGUGAAUGAGACAAAGAUGUUGAGCCAUGUAAAAAAGCUCAACCUCAACAAGCCAAUAUUAGUAAAAAAUAAAAUCUUAAGGAACUAAAUAUGUUCACCCACUUCCUCCCGGGAUGGGGGUGUUAAGGUAGGUGCAGCUCUCUGUAUUUACCCAUGUAUGUGUAAGGAGAGGAUGAGGUCAAAGAAAACACAAGAGUGUUCGAAUGUAGGCAUAGGGUCCAAGUGAAUUUUACCUUACAGUUUUUCCAUGGCCUCAAAACUAAUUUACAAAUGAAAACAAGCACUUAAACUAAGAGCAUGUGUUAAUUUAUAGAUCAGGUGGGAAGAUGGCACCAAUUUUAGAUAAGUGUGAAAGAAUGCAAUCGGUAAUUAUAUUUUUUUCACGGUUAGUAGUCCAAUUUCAAAGACUACAUUAUUAAAAACAAGGUAAGAAUCCUUUCUGAGACUUGA